AUGGCCACCACCGCGCGCCCGCUCGUCUCCGUCAAGGCCCUGGACGGGGACAUGCCCACCGACGCGGCCGGCGUCCCGAUGCCGCACGUCAUGAAGGCACCGAUCCGCCCCGACGUCAUCACCUUCGUCCACAGGCUCGUCUCCUGCAACAGCCGCCAGCCCUACGCCGUCUCCCGCAAGGCCGGUCACCAGACCUCGGCCGAGUCCUGGGGCACGGGUCGCGCCGUCUCGCGUAUCCCGCGUGUCGGCGGCGGCGGCACCCACCGCUCCGGCCAGGGAGCCUUCGGCAACAUGUGCCGUGGCGGGCGCAUGUUCGCGCCCACCCGGAUCUGGCGCAAGUGGCACCGCCGCGUCAACAUCCGCCUCCGCCGCGUCGCCGUCGCCUCCGCCCUCGCCGCCACCGCCGUCCCGGCCAUCGUCACCGCCCGGGGCCACCGCAUCGAGUCCGUCCCCGAGUUCCCGCUCGUCGUCUCCGACUCGGCCGAGGGCAUCGAGAAGACCUCCCAGGCCGUCAAGGUCCUCAAGCAGCUGGGCGCCUACGCUGACGCCGACAAGGCCAAGGACUCCGUGGGCAUCCGCCCCGGCAAGGGUAAGAUGCGCAACCGCCGGUACAUCAACCGCAAGGGCCCCCUCAUCGUCUACGCCACCGAGGGCUCCAAGAUCGUCAAGGCCUUCCGCAACCUCCCUGGUGUGGAUGUUGCCAACGUCGAGCGCCUCAACCUGCUCGACCUUGCCCCUGGUGGCCACCUUGGCCGGUUUGUGAUCUGGACCGAGUCUGCCUUCAAGAAGCUGGACGAGGUGUACGGCUCCUUUGAGGCGUCUUCCUCCAAGAAAAAGGGCUUUGUCCUCCCCAGGCCCAAGAUGACCAAUGCUGACCUUGGUCGCCUCAUCAACUCUGAUGAGGUCCAGUCUGUGGUCAAGCCCAUCAACAAGGAGGUGAAGCGCAGGGAGGCCAGGAAGAACCCUCUCAAGAAUGCUGCUGCCGUGCUCAAGCUCAACCCCUACUUCGGGACUGCCCGCAGGAUGGCAGUUCUUGCUGAGGCAGCCCGUGUCAAGGCCAGGAAGGACAAGAUCAACUCCAAGAGGACCAAGCUCAGCGUGGAGGAGGCAUCUAAGAUCAAGGCUGCUGGGAAGGCUUGGUACCAGACCAUGAUCUCUGACAGCGACUACAUGGAGUUCGACGUCUUCUCCAAGUGGCUCGGCGUCAGCCAGUGA
Molecule: ribosomal RNA, 1215 nt
Filed under: Triticum aestivum (bread wheat)
Lineage: Eukaryota; Viridiplantae; Streptophyta; Magnoliopsida; Poales; Poaceae
Description: partial small subunit ribosomal RNA
Source: RNAcentral